AACCUUAUGGACCUGCGGGCGUAUACCUGCGGAAGGAUCAUUACAGAGUUGCAAAACUCCCUAAACCAUUGUGAACGUUACCUAAACCGUUGCUUCGGCGGGCGGCCCGGGUCCUUCCCGGCGCCCAUCGGCCCUCGCGGGCGCCCGCCGGAGGUAAACCAAACUAUUGCAUUGUAUGGCCUCUCUGAGUCUUCUGUACUGAAUAAGUCAAAACUUUCAGCAACGGAUCUCAGAUCGGAA
RNAcentral lists this unclassified non-coding RNA (240 nucleotides) under soil metagenome. RNAcentral's name for it is "partial contains 5.8S ribosomal RNA, internal transcribed spacer 2, and large subunit ribosomal RNA". The record is from RNAcentral.